RNAcentral lists this transfer RNA (66 nucleotides) under Mitophis sp. A SBH-2010. Its description in RNAcentral is "tRNA-Val". It matches the Rfam family "tRNA". Rfam says of the family: Transfer RNA (tRNA) molecules are approximately 80 nucleotides in length. Lineage: Eukaryota; Metazoa; Chordata; Lepidosauria; Squamata; Leptotyphlopidae. The record is from RNAcentral.
AAAAAGUAGCUUAAAACAAAGCAUUUGACUUACAAUCAAAAAAUGUCGGCGCCCCGAUCUUUUUGA